GCCAGACUCCUACGGGAGGCAGCAGUGGGGAAUAUUGGUCAAUGGCCGAGAGGCUGAACCAGCCAAGUCGCGUGAGGGAUGACGGCCCUACGGGUUGUAAACCUCUUUUGCCGGGGAGCAAAGAGAGUCACGUGUGGCUCAUUGAGAGUACCCGAAGAAAAAGCAUCGGCUAACUACGUGCCAGCAGCCGCGGUAAUACGUAGGAGGCAAGCGUUAUCCGGAAUGACUGGGCGUAAAGGGUGCGUAGGUGGUUUGACAAGUUAGUAGCGCAACUCCGGAGCUCAACUUCGGAACUACUACUAAAACUGUUGGACUUGAGUGCAGGAGGGGCAAUCGGAAUUCCUAGUGUAGCGGUGGAAUGCGUAGAUAUUAGGAGGAACACCAGUGGCGAAGGCGGAUUGCUAGACUGUAACUGACACUGAGGCACGAAAGCGUGGGGAGCAAACAGGAUUAGAUACCCCCGUA
Molecule: ribosomal RNA, 465 nt
Filed under: uncultured bacterium
Lineage: Bacteria
Description: bacterial SSU rRNA
Rfam family: Bacterial small subunit ribosomal RNA
Source: RNAcentral